UACAGAGGGUGCAAGCGUUAAUCGGAAUUACUGGGCGUAAAGCGUGCGUAGACGGUUGCGUAAGUCAGAUGUGAAAGCCCCGGGCUCAACCUGGGAAUUGCAUUUGAGACUGCGUAGCUAGGGUGCGGAAGAGGGAAGCGGAAUUUCCGGUGUAGCGGUGAAAUGCGCAGAUAUCGGGAAGAACACCCGUGGCGAAGGCGGCUCUCUGGAACGCAACUGACGCUGAGACGCGAAAGCGUGGGGAGCAAACAGG
Molecule: ribosomal RNA, 253 nt
Filed under: uncultured bacterium
Lineage: Bacteria
Description: partial 16S ribosomal RNA
Rfam family: Bacterial small subunit ribosomal RNA
Source: RNAcentral